RNAcentral lists this long non-coding RNA (410 nucleotides) under Ananas comosus (pineapple). Its description in RNAcentral is "long non-coding RNA (ACOM_LNC009767)". The record is from RNAcentral. Lineage: Eukaryota; Viridiplantae; Streptophyta; Magnoliopsida; Poales; Bromeliaceae.
AUAAGGCGAUAAAUAAGUGUAAUAUUUUAAAGAAACAAAGGGUUGUUAACUUUGUAAGAUUUAACUUGUAUUUUAUUAUUUUAUUCGCUUUGUAUCUAUUUAUUAUAAUUAAAAGAUGUUGAUCAAUAUUAAGCUGUAAAUGUAUUUAUUGGCUUUGCAUAUUACUGGUUUUUUGAUCCUAAUGGAAUUUUUUUUUAAAAUCAUCUUUUUUUUUUCUUUUUCUUUUUUUUGAGAGAGAUAGGUAGCACGCUACCCGCUUCGUUUAUUUCAUUUAGAAAUAAAUUUAUCUAGAAAUGUGAAUGAACUAAGAUUCGAACUUGUGUCUCGGGUAUCAACCAUCAAACCCUUUACCACCUGCUCUAGGGACGGUCGGUAAUUUUUUUUAAAAUCGUCAAGAAAAGGAUUUAAAU